RNAcentral lists this non-coding RNA (270 nucleotides) under Clostridium oryzae. RNAcentral's name for it is "T-box sequence". It matches the Rfam family "T-box leader". From Rfam's summary of the family: Uncharged tRNA acts as the effector for transcription antitermination of genes in the T-box leader family. T-boxes are found upstream of many aminoacyl-tRNA synthetase genes and some amino acid biosynthetic genes usually in Gram-positive bacteria. The record is from RNAcentral. Lineage: Bacteria; Bacillati; Bacillota; Clostridia; Eubacteriales; Clostridiaceae.
AAAAAAGCGUUGAAGAGAAGGAGUAGAGCCAACGUAGUUUUACAGAGAGUUUCCGGGUGGUGAGAGGAGCAAAACGAAAUGGUUUGAAUACAUCUUAGAGCUGAGUCCCAAAAGCGUACAGCGAGUAGGCGAUUUCCCUUCGUUGCAUAGGUUAUAAUGCAAGGUAUUACCAGAUGCAGAAAGUUGCAGCUGCGAUACUUAGUGAGUUUGUCGUUGUGAGACGGCAAUGAAAAUAGGUGGUAACACGUGAGUUAUGCUUUCGUCCUUGAU